This 579-nucleotide ribosomal RNA is filed under the name uncultured bacterium. Its description in RNAcentral is "partial 16S ribosomal RNA". It matches the Rfam family "Bacterial small subunit ribosomal RNA", at positions 355 to 923 of the family's 1533-position model. The record is from RNAcentral.
UGGGGAAUUUUGGACAAUGGGCGAAAGCCUGAUCCAGCAAUGCCGCGUGUGUGAAGAAGGCCUUCGGGUUGUAAAGCACUUUUGUCCGGAAAGAAAUCCUUGGCUCUAAUACAGUCGGGGGAUGACGGUACCGGAAGAAUAAGCACCGGCUAACUACGUGCCAGCAGCCGCGGUAAUACGUAGGGUGCAAGCGUUAAUCGGAAUUACUGGGCGUAAAGCGUGCGCAGGCGGUUUGCUAAGACCGAUGUGAAAUCCCCGGGCUCAACCUGGGAACUGCAUUGGUGACUGGCAGGCUAGAGUAUGGCAGAGGGGGGUAGAAUUCCACGUGUAGCAGUGAAAUGCGUAGAGAUGUGGAGGAAUACCGAUGGCGAAGGCAGCCCCCUGGGCCAAAUACUGACGCUCAUGCACGAAAGCGUGGGGAGCAAAACAGGAUUAGAUACCCUGGGUAGUCCACGCCCUAAAACGAUGUCAACUAGUUGUUGGGGAUUCAUUUCCUUAGUAACGUAGCUAACGCGUGAAGUUGACCGCCUGGGGAGUACGGUCGCAAGAUUAAAACUCAAAGGAAUUGACGGGGUCAUA